This 1078-nucleotide long non-coding RNA is filed under the name Aotus nancymaae (Ma's night monkey). Its description in RNAcentral is "lncRNA (ENSANAG00000038717.1)". The record is from RNAcentral. Lineage: Eukaryota; Metazoa; Chordata; Mammalia; Primates; Aotidae.
UUGUGUCCCCGCAGCUGAGUGGCAGGUAGCAGAGGCCACGGCACUGGUGCACACGCUGGACGGCUGGUCCGUGGUGCAGACGAUGGUCGUGUCCACCAAAACGCCGGACAAGAAGCUCGUCUUUGGCAAAGGGAACUUUGAGCACCUGACAGGUGAGUCCGUCCACACCUGCCCCCUCCCCAGACCUCCUUUCCCGUCCGCUGCUCCCGAGAACAUUCAACCCGGACGCGUGGAAGGACGGGGGUCUCGCUGGGCCAGACGGGAGGCGGCCCCAUGAGUGGGUGGUCCAGGUGAGCUGGGAGCCCACGUCAGGAGGAGCCGGAGGCAUGGGAGGCUGGACCUGUGUCCCCGCCACACAGACUCUCUCAGCGUGGGGUCCCGCGUGGGGCCCUGGCGCUUCCAGGUUUUUGACCGUCCGGCUUACACUGCAGAGUGGGGAAGACCCGACCAACUAAUACUAGUACUUCUACUAACUAAGCUACUAACUAGCCGAGCUGGGAGUCUGCUUCCCUGCCUGACUCAGAGGCGUCUCAUCGGGGCUGGGAUGUGUUCACCAUGUCUCUGUGUGUGUGUGUGGCCCACCGUGUGUUCACCGCGUGUGUGUGCAUCUGUGUGUCCCCACUGGGAUGUGUUCACCGUGUGUGUGUCUGUGUGUCCCCACUGGGAUGCCUUCCCCGUGUGUGUGGGUGUGUGUCCCUGUCACGAUGUGUUCACUGUGUGUGUGGGGGGGGUGGGUCCCCACUGCGAUGUGUUCCGUGUGUGUGUGUGUGUGUCCCCACUGGGAUGUGUUCCGUGUGUGUGUGUGUGUAGAUGCGUCUGUCCGUCUCGGAAUGUGUUCACCGUGUGUGUGUGUGUCCCCGCCGGGAUGCGUUCACCAUGUGUGCAUGUGUGUGUGUGAGAUGUGUGUGUCCAUGUUGGAAUGUUUACCUUGUGUGUGUGUCUCCGCCGGGAUGUGUUCACCGUGUACACAUCUGUGUACGUGAAACACACACCCCUAGAGACAGACCCCCUCCGACGCCGCUUUCCUGGAUCCUGGGUCUGGGGCUCAGGAAGUCGGGGACGUCUGUGAACUGCGCCC